UACGGGAGGCAGCAGUAGGGAAUCUUCCACAAUGGGCGCAAGCCUGAUGGAGCAACGCCGCGUGUGUGAUGAAGGCUUUCGGGUCGUAAAGCACUGUUGUAUGGGAAGAAAUGCUAAAAUAGGGAAUGAUUUUAGUUUGACGGUACCAUACCAGAAAGGGACGGCUAAAUACGUGCCAGCAGCCGCGGUAAUACGUAUGUCCCGAGCGUUAUCCGGAUUUAUUGGGCGUAAAGCGAGCGCAGACGGUUGAUUAAGUCUGAUGUGAAAGCCCGGAGCUCAACUCCGGAAUGGCAUUGGAAACUGGUUAACUUGAGUGUUGUAGAGGUAAGUGGAACUCCAUGUGUAGCGGUGGAAUGCGUAGAUAUAUGGAAGAACACCAGUGGCGAAGGCGGCUUACUGGACAACAACUGACGUUGAGGCUCGAAAGUGUGGGUAGCAAACAGGAUUAGAUACCCUGGUAGUCCACACCGUAAACGAUGAAUACUAGGUGUUAGGAGGUUUCCGCCUCUUAGUGCCGAAGCUAACGCAUUAAGUAUUCCGCCUGGGGAGUACGACCGCAAGGUUGAAACUCAAAGGAAUUGACGGAAGGGC
This 591-nucleotide ribosomal RNA is filed under the name uncultured Leuconostoc sp. RNAcentral describes it as "bacterial SSU rRNA". It matches the Rfam family "Bacterial small subunit ribosomal RNA", at positions 340 to 922 of the family's 1533-position model. The record is from RNAcentral. Lineage: Bacteria; Bacillati; Bacillota; Bacilli; Lactobacillales; Lactobacillaceae.